RNAcentral lists this ribosomal RNA (253 nucleotides) under uncultured bacterium. RNAcentral describes it as "partial 16S ribosomal RNA". It matches the Rfam family "Bacterial small subunit ribosomal RNA", at positions 524 to 776 of the family's 1533-position model. The record is from RNAcentral.
UACGAAGGGGGCUAGCGUUGCUCGGAAUCACUGGGCGUAAAGCGCACGUAGGCGGAUCUUUAAGUCAGUGGUGAAAGCCUGGAGCUCAACUCCAGAACUGCCAUUGAAACUGUUAGACUUGAGUACGAGAGAGGUGAGUGGAAUUCCCAGUGUAGAGGUGAAAUUCGUAGAUAUUGGGAAGAACACCAGUGGCGAAGGCGGCUCACUGGCUCGUAACUGACGCUCAGGCGCGACAGCGUGGGGAUCAAACAGG